CCUGGAUGUUUUAUUUGUCCUGAAGAGCUUUCUUCUGUGUUUAAAAGGACCAUCCCAUCUCUCCCUAGGUGUAGCCAUUUAUCUAAAAAGUGCCCUGGCAAUCAGCCAUUGCCUGCUGUGGUGGGUACAGCCUCACUGCAUGGACAGUUACAGGAACGUUCAAAUUGCCAUGGUUUCCACAGAAAAUGUGUUCAGACUCCCUGAAAAGGUCAGUGUCCCAGUGCUGUAGAGAAAACCACCCUGGAUUUUUCCUGUUGACCAAAUUUAUUGCCUUGGCUUGAUUUUGCAAACCAGAGUUGUAUGUCUGCAGCAUCCUUCACAUGACAUUCCAGAUUAUUCUCUAUGGAUCCCUGUUGGUCUAUUAGCUGCUGCUAAGAGAUCUGAGAAAGAAAGAUCUCUCUACACCACAGAAUGAAGAUGUGGUGGCAGUAUGUGUUGGGACCCCUGGACUGUGGCACCCUAGCCAGGGCAGCUGGUGGCUGUGACUGAAGAGGUGACACAUGUGGUAGCUGCAGUACAAAAUCCUUCCACUAGCAGAAGCUGGAGUAGAAGCAGUGUUUGUGCCUUUUUUGUGGAAGCAUCAGGCAGUGUACCAGAAAGGUGCCUCCAGGUUCUAUCAAUUUUUGUAGAGAAAAAUGAAUGCCAGACCUUACAAACUUUGCCUGGAUGCAACGCAAGAAAAAACAAAGUCUGCUCUCUACAUGCUGGAUGCCAAAGAAAACUGAACAUAAGGGACACAUUUUAAUUAACUGCUACAGUAAUUUAUUGAGGAAAGUGAUUUGUUGAUCACUACUCACAGUCUUUAAAUAAGAAUUUGCUUUCUAAGAGGAGUAGUUUUAGUUCAGCAACAUUUUAUUCCUUUUGGUAUAGGAAAAGCUCAUACUCUUGAGCAGAUCUGAUGGGGUGGUUGCCACAGCUCUUCCUGCCCUUAAAAUUAAAAAUUGUUAGCAUCUCCUGCUCAUAUAUUUCAGGCUAAAAUUAAAAGAUAAAGCAUGCUGUGUGUAAUGAGGUAUUAUAUUUUAUUCUAAAUCUCUUUGUUCAUUUUUUCUUGGAGGGGCAGGUAAGGCAUCUCCAAGCUUAAGCAAUGAGUUGAGCUUCUCAGUUAAAAUGAGAACUUUCUGCAAGAGAAAUAAAACUUGGUGGGACCAAUUUUUACAUCUUUGACCUCUCUGGUUCCCCAACACUGAAUUUGUGUUGUGAAUUUCCAAAAUCUCUUUGUAAUGCAGCUGGGUGGUGGAAAUGUGGAUGUCUAGAAAAAGGAAGCUCAUAAGUGGCUGAUGAUGUCAUUUAGACUUACCCAGAGGAAUCACUGCUGUUCAUGUCAUUAAAACAGUUGGGAUGAUUUUGUCAGUAUUUUUGUCUUGUUCUCCCUCCUGCAGAAUGAUGCCAGUUGUAGGUGAAGUGCUUGCAUAGAUGAUGUAUUAAUAUUAAUAGGUUAUUGAACAGGGAUUGAUGUUGGUCAGACCAUUUGUUUCAUAGGCACUGCUUCAAUUAUGUUAUCAUUGUAAGCUUUCCUAUUAAUUAGCUUAGAAGGAGUAAUUUCCCAGCAGAUUAUAGGAGCCAGCAUGUAAUGAGUGUUUCUGACAUUAAAAACCUUAUUGAUGGAAAUUAUCUACAUUGGUUAUCAUCUGGAUAUCCAGAUAUACCUUUUG
This is a long non-coding RNA of Passer montanus (Eurasian tree sparrow), 1652 nucleotides long. RefSeq lists it as uncharacterized. NCBI's taxonomy places the organism in Eukaryota, Metazoa, Chordata, Aves, Passeriformes, Passeridae. The transcript has 5 exons. The record is from RefSeq and is a predicted model, not a curated record.